UUUACGGGAGGCAGCAGUGAGGAAUCUUGGACACUGGGCGCAAGCCUGAUCCAGCUAUAUCGCGUGGGUGACGAAGGUUAUAUUGAUUGUAAAACCCUUUCAUUGAAAAAAAACGGUACACCGUUUUUUGGAGACUUUGACAUGAAUCAAAGAAGAAGCUCCGGCAAAUUCUGUGCCAGCAGCCGCGGUAAU
RNAcentral lists this ribosomal RNA (192 nucleotides) under uncultured bacterium. RNAcentral's name for it is "partial 16S ribosomal RNA". It matches the Rfam family "Bacterial small subunit ribosomal RNA", at positions 338 to 524 of the family's 1533-position model. The record is from RNAcentral.